This 253-nucleotide ribosomal RNA is filed under the name uncultured bacterium. Its description in RNAcentral is "partial 16S ribosomal RNA". It matches the Rfam family "Bacterial small subunit ribosomal RNA", at positions 524 to 776 of the family's 1533-position model. The record is from RNAcentral.
UACGUAGGGGGCAAGCGUUGUCCGGAAUCAUUGGGCGUAAAGCGCGUGUAGGCGGUCCGGUAAGUCCGCUGUGAAAGUCGGGGGCUCAACCCUCGGAUGCCGGUGGAUACUGUCGGGCUUGAGUACGGAAGAGGCGAGUGGAAUUCCUGGUGUAGCGGUGAAAUGCGCAGAUAUCAGGAGGAACACCGGUGGCGAAGGCGGGACUCUGGGCCGAUACUGACGCUGAGGAGCGAAAGCGUGGGGAGCAAACAGG